Molecule: ribosomal RNA, 365 nt
Filed under: uncultured bacterium
Lineage: Bacteria
Description: bacterial SSU rRNA
Rfam family: Bacterial small subunit ribosomal RNA
Source: RNAcentral
CACGUUGGAACCUGCCCCAAAGUGAGGAAUAAGCCACCGAAAGGUGGUCUAAUACUUCAUAAUAUCCAUCUCGUAUGGAUUAAAGCUUUAUGCGCUUUGGGAGGGGCCUGCGUAACAUUAGCUUGUUGGUGAGGUAAAAGCUCACCAAGGCUUCGAUGUUUAACUGGUUUGAGAGGAUGACCAGUCACACUGGGACUGAGAUACGGCCCAGACUCCUACGGGAGGCAGCAGUAAGGAAUCUUCCACAAUGGGGCAACCCUGAUGGAGCAAUACCGCGUGCAGGAUGAAGCGUUUCGGCGUGUAAACUGCUUUUAUCACCGAAGAUUAUGACUGUAGGUGAAGAAUAAGGACCGGCUAACUACGUG